GAUCAUGGCUCAGGACGAACGCUGGCGGCGUGCCUAACACAUGCAAGUCGAACGGAACUUCUUUAAAGGAUUUCUUCGGAAUGAAUUUGAUUAAGUUUAGUGGCGGACGGGUGAGUAACGCGUGAGUAACCUGCCUCUAAGAGGGGAAUAACAUUCUGAAAAGAAUGCUAAUACCGCAUAAUAUGUAUUUAUCGCAUGGUAGAUAUAUCAAAGAUUUAUCGCUUAGAGAUGGACUCGCGUCCGA
This 244-nucleotide ribosomal RNA is filed under the name uncultured bacterium. RNAcentral describes it as "partial 16S ribosomal RNA". It matches the Rfam family "Bacterial small subunit ribosomal RNA", at positions 15 to 240 of the family's 1533-position model. The record is from RNAcentral.